Molecule: ribosomal RNA, 465 nt
Filed under: uncultured bacterium
Lineage: Bacteria
Description: partial 16S ribosomal RNA
Rfam family: Bacterial small subunit ribosomal RNA
Source: RNAcentral
GACGAACGCUGGCGGCGUGCUUAACACAUGCAAGUCGAACGGAAAGGCCCCUUUGGGGGUACUCGAGUGGCGAACGGGUGAGUAACACGUGAGUAACCUGCCCUUGACUUCGGGAUAACUUCAGGAAACUGGGGCUAAUACCGGAUAGGAAUCCUUGCUGCAUGGUGGGGGUUGGAAAGCUUCGGCGGUUUUGGAUGGACUCGCGGCUUAUCAGCUUGUUGGUGGGGUAGUGGCUUACCAAGGCUUUGACGGGUAGCCGGCCUGAGAGGGCGACCGGCCACAUUGGGACUGAGAUACGGCCCAGACCCCUGCGGGAGGCAGCAGUGGGGAAUAUUGCACAAUGGGAGGAAGCCUGAUGCAGCAACGCCGCGUGCGGGAUGACGGCCUUCGGGUUGUAAACCGCGUUCAGCAGGGGCGGAGCUUGUGGUGACGGUACCUGCAGAAGAAGCACCGGCUAACUACGUG